UACGUAGGGUGCGAGCGUUUAAUCGGAAUUACUGGGCGUAAAGCGUGCGCAGGCGGUUUGCUAAGACCGAUGUGAAAUCCCCGGGCUUAACCUGGGAACUGCAUUGGUGACUGGCAGGCUAGAGUAUGGCAGAGGGGGGGUAGAAUUCCACGUGUAGCAGUGAAAUGCGUAGAGAUGUGGAGGAAUACCGAUGGCGAAGGCAGCCCCCUGGGCCAAUACUGACGCUCAUGCACGAAAGCGUGGGGAGCAAACAGG
This 255-nucleotide ribosomal RNA is filed under the name uncultured bacterium. RNAcentral's name for it is "partial 16S ribosomal RNA". It matches the Rfam family "Bacterial small subunit ribosomal RNA", at positions 524 to 776 of the family's 1533-position model. The record is from RNAcentral.